RNAcentral lists this ribosomal RNA (253 nucleotides) under uncultured prokaryote. RNAcentral's name for it is "partial 16S ribosomal RNA". It matches the Rfam family "Bacterial small subunit ribosomal RNA", at positions 525 to 777 of the family's 1533-position model. The record is from RNAcentral.
ACGAAGGGGGCUAGCGUUGUUCGGAUUUACUGGGCGUAAAGCGCACGUAGGCGGAUUGUUAAGUCAGGGGUGAAAUCCUGGAGCUCAACUCCAGAACUGCCUUUGAUACUGGCAUUCUAGAGUCCGGAAGAGGUGAGUGGAACUCCUAGUGUAGAGGUGGAAUUCGUAGAUAUUAGGAAGAACACCAGUGGCGAAGGCGACUUACUGGACGACUGUUGACGCUGAGGUGCGAAAGCGUGGGGAGCAAACAGGA